This 209-nucleotide long non-coding RNA is filed under the name Paramuricea clavata. Lineage: Eukaryota; Metazoa; Cnidaria; Anthozoa; Malacalcyonacea; Plexauridae. The record is from RNAcentral.
CGGUGUACGGGUACGGGUAGCAUGAUUUUGGUUAGCAAUAUUUUCGGCGAUGUCUGUACCUUUACUCGUAAUUAAGGUGCACAUUUUUCGCAUUAUAUCAUUGUCUAUUGCAAGAAAACAGAAAAAGUAUGAUCGAAUUACAGACAUCAGUAAAACAAGAUGACACCACUCGUACCCGUACACCGAAACCGGGGUAUCUUAACCUCUCU